This 110-nucleotide ribosomal RNA is filed under the name uncultured bacterium. RNAcentral describes it as "partial 16S ribosomal RNA". It matches the Rfam family "Bacterial small subunit ribosomal RNA", at positions 1373 to 1482 of the family's 1533-position model. The record is from RNAcentral.
CCCGGGCCUUGUACACACCGCCCGUCACGUCACGAAAGUCGGUAACACCCGAAGCCAGUGGCCCAACCUCAGGGAGGGAGCUGUCGAAGGUGGGAUCGGCGAUUGGGACG